AUGUUACUGUAUGUAUGGAAGAACUUACAGCAGGUGUGGAUAUGCCUCCAAUCGAACUCAAGGGAUGUUGGAAUCACCCACCCGCAAAAAAAAUUAACUCUAAAAAGGAAGCUUCUGGCAACACUCCACCUCAGACAGGAACAGAUGGGUGGACCUCAACCAGUAGAUCCUAUGCCUCCUCUGUCUUUCAAUAUUUUGGCCGAGCAGGGUGGCAAUGUGUCAGAUGCAUCAGAUGGAACAGGAGCGAGGCCGGUGGAGUGGACCCCUUCGGUCUCGAGUCCCACGGAGGAGACGGAGGGAUAUAAAUCCGGAGCGACGAAAGUGACGCACGAGAGAGGACCAGGCCUGAACUUCAUUUUGGAUUUGUUUUUUAUUUGUUCGCGUCAGUCAUCCUUGAGGGGCUGACACGCGGUUUUGUCUUUAUUUUGUAAUUAAAGUUUGAUUUGUAUUAUCUUCCACUUCUUCCCGAUGAUUAUGAAGGUUUUAUCGUUACAGUGGUGCCGAAACCCGGCAGAAGGAGGGAUGCGCUGCUGAAGAUCCUUCGCCUGAAUCCGCGGUGCCAUCGAGUAGGCGAGGAAGUGUGCCGCCAUCGACACUCGAGGCGGUGGGCUGGAGUGAGUUUCCGGGGAUGGGUGAGUUUGCUGCCGGCCGCCUGUGAUGUGGAGGGGCAGCUGCCGUCUGUGAGGGACCGGAGGAGACGACGCCAUUCGCCAGGGGCCGGAGUCUGCUGCCUCUGUGAAGGAAUCCAGAGGAGCAGGGAAUGGGGGACUCCUGCUGGCUGCCCAAAACCGGAGGAGUCGUCACCGUCCACCGGGUGGCGGAGGAGUAUCGUGCCGUCCGCCGAGGGCUGUCCAGUGCCACCGCCAGGCACCGCAGCGUGUCUGGGAACUGGAGUAUUUUUUUUUCCUCUCUCAUCUCUGUUGCUCCUCCUUCCAUCUCCUUUUCUCUCACCUCGUCUGUCCUACCCCCAGGUUCCCGCAGGUCCCUGUGAGCGGUCCCCCCCAGAGGGUAAAGCACAGUCUGAGUGACACCUGCUCAACCCACAGGUCUCGAGUCCCACGGAGGAGAAGGAGGGAUAUAAAACCGGAGCGACGACAGUGACGGACCAGGACUGGGUUUUAGUUGUGUUUGCUUUUUAUUUUAUGUGCCUCAAUCAUCCGUGAGGGGCUGACGCGCUGUUUUGUUUUUAUUUUUGUCAUUAAAGUCUUGAUUUGAUUGUCUGCCGGUUCCCGCCUCCGUCUUCCCGAUGAUUAUGAAGUUUGUACAUUGUUACAAAAAGCUUAUGGAUUCAUGCAAAACUACUUACUACUUAAUAUAUAUAUAUAUAUAUAUAAUAUAAAUGUCGUUAUUAUUAUUAUUAUUAUUAUAUAAAUCCUUAAAAAUAACUUAACAAUUCACUUAACUUAUUGUUUUAAUUAUUUUCUUGAUGAUUUUGGGGCAAUGGUUGUUCUCAAUUUUUUUAAGUGAAGUCAACUUAUCAUUUUUCACAGUGUACAUGCAUACAUACAUGCGUUUAUUUGCAAAAACCAAUAACUUUGCUUUUAACAAUUGACAAAAAAAAAAGGUUUUUCCCAAUUAAUUGAGCACUCCAGUUAAUCUCAAUUAACAUGCAAUUGCAUUAUUUUGAUUAGGUAAAAAAUACAUUACAAAUACUAGAUUACUAACUAAAUAAAACACAAUAAUUUAACCAUUAAUUAAUAAUUAACCAUUAUAAAAAAAUAUAUAUAUAUAUAUAUAUAUAUAUAUAUAUAUAUAUAUAUAUAUAUAUAUAUAUAAAUGUGUGUGUGUGUGUGUGUGUGUGUG
Molecule: long non-coding RNA, 1803 nt
Organism: Carassius auratus (goldfish)
Lineage: Eukaryota; Metazoa; Chordata; Actinopteri; Cypriniformes; Cyprinidae
Source: Ensembl